CUUUUUAUUUUUUAUUUUAUUUUAUGAAAUCCGACUUUAAAGAGAAAAUUAUUAUUGUUAAAUAUGGUGAUUCUUUCACGUUGAAUCUGACUGUUAUUUUUGGAUCUCAAUCUAAUUUGUCGGGAAAAAAAAAUUGAGCCCAAUCCUAAAUUUGAAAUGAUGCAAAAUUUCCUUUUUCUUUAUGACCAUUCAAUACUCUGAAACCUACUAACUCUAUUAAUUCGGUUUCACGCCCUGUACAAUCUAUUAAGAGAAAAUCUUAAUCUUCCUACCAAGACUUUCUCCAUUUACGGGCUCAAACACGCAAAUCUCCGUUUAAAGACGGCGGGAUCUCACUCAUCCCAUCAUACUCUUUGAUUAUUAUAUAAUUUUCUUUUAAAUUUCUCUUUGAAUUUUGUUUUCAUAAAAAUAAAGCACCUCAUAUUCAGUUUGAAAGAAAAAAUUAGAAGUUCAGUUGGUCCUUUUGAAAUUGAGAUUUCGUGAAAUAUCUCUGUCAACGUUUCAAGCCAAAACCCAACUGUUUUGGUGUGUUACCCUCGCAGUCCCAAAUAAGUGUCACUUUAGCUCAUUUCACGUUCUUUAAUAUAAUUUAUUAAUUUACCUAUAUUUAUUACUAGUAGAUAUUUUUUGAGAACUGAGAGAAGUAGUUCUUUAAUAUAAGAAUAUAGUGAAAAACAAUUACUAUUUUUAUUUUGAAUUGCAAAAACGACACUUAUUUUGGGAUUAAUUUUUUUUUUUGGUUUCCAUAGCGACAUGUAUUGUGAGACUGAGGGAGUAAAAUUCAAGUGAAAGUUGUCAUCCUUCUCGGACCACUCUUUUCCAAAAGAAGACAUUUGUUAAAGUAGAACAGGCCAAUUCACCCGAAAUAUUCAGAUUUUAGUAGCGAGGACUUUUUCAGCUUGACAAUUCCAAUGUCAAUCGCUUAUCCUUUAUUUGCUCUUUAACGAAAAAGAUUAGUUAAAUGCUGUUGAUUUCCCAAUGUUUUGAUGGGGAAAAAAAGUUUUGACAAAACCGAGGUGAUGAAAAAAAAAAAAAAGUGUUGCAAUGUUUAGGUGUUAGGUGCGGCAGAGAAUCAGAAUUCAGAAAACACAGUGAGUUUCGCUGUACCAAAAAAAAAAAAAAAAAAAAAAAAACUUAGGUAAGAGAAGACGGCUCUGUUUAGUGCCUCGAGGUGGGUAUCAAAGACAACAGAAUUGACUCAUUAAAUUUUCCUUACUUUAUUUAGGUGGUCUCAAGUGUAGACUGAUGUUGUAACGAACGUCAUGGCUUUGUCUUGUUGGCCUCAUCUUAUCGGUCUUCCAAGGUUUGGUUGGGUUUACUAAACCUAAUUCAUUAGGUUGCUUAGAAUGAAUUAGGAUCGACUUAUGACUGAUAUUUGUUUUUAUUUUUUUUUAAAUGAAAACACUUUGUUUCCUGAUGACAAAGUCGGGAUUUAAAACGUAUGAGUUCUGGGUUCUAGUCUUUUGGUGCAUUAAGUUAACAUUUUGUAUAUAUUCAAUAGAUUUAAGACAAUUACAAGGUUUUGCCAGAACUAUUAGGUUCAGCCGAAUCCGUGUACCGAUAUUCUAGCUUUGUCCCCCUGCCUAAUAUACCUAUAAGUUGGCUAUUAAACUCUAGACUAGAUAUAGAAAAAAAAAUCAAAAAGAAUACUUUCCUCAUUUUAGUUUAUGUGGCCUAGUUUAACUAAGUAUGCGUCGAUAAAGAAUUAAAGAUUUCCGAAACUUUAAUGAUUUUAAUAAAAGCUGAGCCAUUCCUAGCUUAAGUGGUGCCUCGAUUCGGUCUGACCAAUCGAGAAGAGAUUCACAUAGAGAACCCCUCCCCCCUUCCCAACCCCAACGCGAAAGAUGUGAGAAAGUCCUAGUCCUAAAAUAAAAAAUAAAUUAUUUUUUAGUAUACAGAAAUAUUAUAUCUUAAAAAAUUAAAAAUAAAAAGUGUAAAAUGAGAUAUGAGGGGUGCUAAUUUAACUGGUUCCACAUGGAGGGGAGUUCUAUCACCCAGUUGUCCUGGGUGGCGUGAUUUCGUUUCAACAUUUUGUGCGAUCCAAUAAUUUUGGGGCUUUGGGCCAGGGCAUUGUUUACAAUUCCUUCCCUAUUCAUUUGGUUGGUUUCUAGUGUGGGACCACCUUCAUUGUCUCUCUUCCCUCUCCAAUUGUUAGUGCUAAUUGCUUUCAUUUUUUUUGUCUCAAUGCGAUGGUGGAAAGCCCCAAAAGUUCACUAAAUAUUUUUUGGACUUAAAUUAUACAUAUGCUAAUAUUUUUUUCUAAAAAUUAUACUAGUAUAUGCGUUAAAAAAGGAAUAUGCUUAUUACGCAAAGAUACAUGCACAUGAAUACAUUUUAAAUAACUUGAUCGCGUAAAACAUUGCCGGUAUAAGUGACUUUUAUUUAAGUUAUAUAUACACUAGUCAUGUAAAUAAUUUUUACAUUAGUAAGUCGUUUAAUCAAAUUUCGGAUUAUCAACCAACUAGAUCAGUUUAAAACUAUACGCUACUUUUUUUUUUUUUUUUUUUUUGGUGUGGCUAAUUAAUGGUGGUUGGGUGAAGACAAAUAGAGUUAGACUCUAUUAGUACCACUCGUUUGGUAUAAUUAUGUGGGGACUAGUUGAUUUUGCCCCAUUCUUUUUACAGUGACUGCACUUUCAGAAUGUUAUGGGGUCAUUUCCAUAAAAAAAAAACGUGGUCAACUAGAAACAUUCUGUAGUAUGCCAUUGUAAAGGGUAUGUCUUUUUCAGUUUUUCUUUUCUUUUUUGGUAAGGGCUGUACUUUUGUCCGUUUGCCAAUUUCAGCCAGCACUAACACUGUUAACAACUUUGUUAAACAUUGUGUGUGCAAAAAAUCUAUUACUAAGGGAGCAGUAAAGUAACAUGGUCAGUUCGUUUCCUUUUUUGUUAAACAUUGCCAAGACAUAUGAUCAAACUCGAAAAUUCAUUAUGCUACGGUGUUUGUUUAUUUUAAUUAGUGAAAUUUUUACUUUGCUUGAUAUCAUUGUGGAUAUUGAAUACUGAAUAGUGAAUAUAA
Molecule: long non-coding RNA, 3014 nt
Organism: Lycium ferocissimum
Lineage: Eukaryota; Viridiplantae; Streptophyta; Magnoliopsida; Solanales; Solanaceae
Exons: 2
Source: RefSeq, a predicted model, not a curated record